UACGGGGGGAGCAAGCGUUGUUCGGAUUUACUGGGCGUAAAGGGCGCGUAGGCGGCCACCGCAAGUCGGUUGUGAAAUCUCCGGGCUUAACCCGGAAAGGUCAAUCGAUACUGCGGGGCUAGAGUGCAGAAGGGGCAACUGGAAUUCUCGGUGUAGCGGUGAAAUGCGCAGAUAUCAGGAGGAACACCAGUGGCGAAGGCGGUGCUCUGGGCCGGAACUGACGCUGAGGAGCGAAAGCGUGGGGAGCAAACAGG
This 254-nucleotide ribosomal RNA is filed under the name uncultured bacterium. Its description in RNAcentral is "partial 16S ribosomal RNA". It matches the Rfam family "Bacterial small subunit ribosomal RNA", at positions 524 to 776 of the family's 1533-position model. The record is from RNAcentral.